Mytilus trossulus (common blue mussel) is the source of this 217-nucleotide long non-coding RNA. RefSeq lists it as uncharacterized. The record is from RefSeq and is a predicted model, not a curated record. The transcript has 4 exons. NCBI's taxonomy places the organism in Eukaryota, Metazoa, Mollusca, Bivalvia, Mytilida, Mytilidae.
AGAGAUGCUUUAGAUGAUGGCACUUUCUUAUUGAUAAAUAUAGCUGACCUCAGUUUUCAUCAAAUUAGAAAUAUGGAAAAUUGGAAUAAGAAACUCCUUGAAGCUGCUACAAAAGGAAGAGUAGAAGAAUUGAAGCUUUGCUUAGCAAACGGAGCUAACAUUGAUUAUCGAGAGGGUUAUGGAUGGACAGCAUUAAUGUUGGCUGCCUGGGGAGGAC